This 433-nucleotide ribosomal RNA is filed under the name uncultured bacterium. Its description in RNAcentral is "bacterial SSU rRNA". It matches the Rfam family "Bacterial small subunit ribosomal RNA", at positions 28 to 456 of the family's 1533-position model. The record is from RNAcentral.
GACGAACGCUGGCGGCGCGCCUAACACAUGCAAGUCGAACGAGCGAGAGAGAGCUUGCUUUCUCGAGCGAGUGGCGAACGGGUGAGUAACGCGUGAGGAACCUGCCUCAAAGAGGGGGACAACAGUUGGAAACGACUGCUAAUACCGCAUAAGCCCACGGCUCGGCAUCGAGCAGAGGGAAAAGGAGCAAUCCGCUUUGAGAUGGCCUCGCGUCCGAUUAGCUAGUUGGUGAGGUAAUGGCCCACCAAGGCAACGAUCGGUAGCCGGACUGAGAGGUUGAACGGCCACAUUGGGACUGAGACACGGCCCAGACUCCUACGGGAGGCAGCAGUGGGGAAUAUUGCACAAUGGGGGAAACCCUGAUGCAGCGACGCCGCGUGGAGGAAGAAGGUCUUCGGAUUGUAAACUCCUGUUGUUGAGGAAGAUAAUGACG